RNAcentral lists this long non-coding RNA (500 nucleotides) under Homo sapiens (human). RNAcentral describes it as "non-protein coding lnc-MRAP-5:1". Lineage: Eukaryota; Metazoa; Chordata; Mammalia; Primates; Hominidae. The record is from RNAcentral.
GUAUAUUCUAGUGAAAGGAGACCAGGUGACUGGCAUAGUGACAGCUAAAUCUGGAGAUAUAUUCAGAGUUGAUGUUGGAGGGAGUGAGCCAGUUUCUUUGUCUUACUUGGCAUUUGAAGGUGCAACUAAAAGAAACAGACCAAAUGUGCAGGUUGGAGAUCUCAUCUAUGGCCAAUUUGUGGUUGCUAAUAAAGACAUGGAACCAGAGAUGGUCUGUAUUGACAGCUAUGGAUGAGCCAAUGGAAGGAAUGUCAUUGGACAGGAUGGUCUGCUUUUUAAAGUGACUGGGCUUCAUUAGAAAGCUGUUAGCUCCAGAUCAUGAAAUCAAACAGGAAGUGGGAAAACUCUAUCCACUGAAGAUAGUAUUUGGAAUGAAUGGAAGAGUAUGGGUUAAGGGAAAAACCGUCCAGCAGACUUUAAUUUUGGCAAAUGUUUUAGAAGCUUGUGAACACAUGACAUUAGAUCAAAGAAAACAAAUCUCCAGAUUGGCAGAAAGUUGA